This 490-nucleotide ribosomal RNA is filed under the name uncultured bacterium. Its description in RNAcentral is "bacterial SSU rRNA". It matches the Rfam family "Bacterial small subunit ribosomal RNA", at positions 903 to 1397 of the family's 1533-position model. The record is from RNAcentral.
AAAUGAAUAGACGGGGGCCCGCACAAGCAGUGGAGUAUGUGGUUUAAUUCGAAGCAACGCGAAGAACCUUACCAGGUCUUGACAUCCACCGAAUCCUGUAGAGAUACGGGAGUGCCCUUCGGGGAGCGGUGAGACAGGUGGUGCAUGGUUGUCGUCAGCUCGUGUCGUGAGAUGUUGGGUUAAGUCCCGCAACGAGCGCAACCCUUGUGAAUAGUUGCUACGAAAGAGCACUCUAUUCAGACCGCCGUUGACAAAACGGAGGAAGGUGGGGAUGACGUCAAAUCAUCAUGCCCCUUAUGACCUGGGCUACACACGUACUACAAUGGUCGUUAACAGAGGGAAGCAAGGCCGCGAGGUGGAGCGAACCCCUAAAAACGAUCUCAGUUCAGAUUGCAGGCUGAAACUCGCCUGCAUGAAGAUGGAAUUGCUAGUAAUCGCGGAUCAGCAUGCCGCGGUGAAUACGUUCCCGGGCCUUGUACACACCGCCCGU